RNAcentral lists this ribosomal RNA (250 nucleotides) under uncultured Pseudomonas sp. RNAcentral describes it as "partial 16S ribosomal RNA". It matches the Rfam family "Bacterial small subunit ribosomal RNA", at positions 103 to 354 of the family's 1533-position model. The record is from RNAcentral. Lineage: Bacteria; Pseudomonadati; Pseudomonadota; Gammaproteobacteria; Pseudomonadales; Pseudomonadaceae.
CGGGUGAGUAAUGCCUAGGAAUCUGCCUGGUAGUGGGGGACAACGUUUCGAAAGGAACGCUAAUACCGCAUACGUCCUACGGGAGAAAGCAGGGGACCUUCGGGCCUUGCGCUAUCAGAUGAGCCUAGGUCGGAUUAGCUAGUUGGUGAGGUAAUGGCUCACCAAGGCGACGAUCCGUAACUGGUCUGAGAGGAUGAUCAGUCACACUGGAACUGAGACACGGUCCAGACUCCUACGGGAGGCAGCAGAU